GAUGAAGAACGCAGCAAAAUGCGAUAAGUAAUGUGAAUUGCAGAAUUCAGUGAAUCAUCGAAUCUUUGAACUCACAUUGCGCCCGCUGGUAUUCCGGCGGGCGUGCCUGUUCGAGCGUCAUUUCAACCCUCAAGCCCCCGGGUUUGGUGUUGGGGAUCGGCUCUGCCCUUCUGGGCGGUGCCGCCCCCGAAAUACAUUGGCGGUCUCGCUGCAGCCUCCAUUGCGUAGUAGCUAACACCUCGCAACUGGAACGCGGCGCGGCCAUGCCGUAAAACCCCAACUUCUGAAUGUUGACCUCGGAUCAGGUAGGAAUACCCGCUGAACUUAAGCAUAUCAAUAAGCGGAGGA
Molecule: unclassified non-coding RNA, 348 nt
Filed under: soil metagenome
Description: partial contains 5.8S ribosomal RNA, internal transcribed spacer 2, and large subunit ribosomal RNA
Rfam family: 5.8S ribosomal RNA (bases 1-120)
Source: RNAcentral